RNAcentral lists this ribosomal RNA (439 nucleotides) under uncultured bacterium. RNAcentral describes it as "partial 16S ribosomal RNA". It matches the Rfam family "Bacterial small subunit ribosomal RNA", at positions 339 to 795 of the family's 1533-position model. The record is from RNAcentral.
CUACGGGAGGCACCAGUGAGGAAUAUUGCACAAUGGGGGGAACCCUGAUGCAGCAACGCCGCGUGGAGGAUGACGCAUUUCGGUGUGUAAACUCCUUUUAUAUGUCAAGAAAAUGACGGUAGCAUAUGAAUAAGCACCGGCUAACUCCGUGCCAGCAGCCGCGGUAAUACGGAGGGUGCAAGCGUUACUCGGAAUCACUGGGCGUAAAGGACGCGUAGGCGGGUUGGAAAGUCAGGUGUGAAAUCCUACAGCUUAACUGUAGAACUGCACUUGAAACUUCUAAUCUAGAGUAUGGGAGGGGGAGAUGGAAUUAGUGGUGUAGGGGUAAAAUCCGUAGAUAUCACUAGGAAUACCUAAAGCGAAGGCGAUCUCCUGGAACAUUACUGACGCUAUGGCGUGAAAGCGUGGGGAGCAAACAGGAUUAGAUACCCCAGUAGUC